RNAcentral lists this long non-coding RNA (262 nucleotides) under Elaeis guineensis (African oil palm). Its description in RNAcentral is "long non-coding RNA (EGUI_LNC024682)". The record is from RNAcentral. Lineage: Eukaryota; Viridiplantae; Streptophyta; Magnoliopsida; Arecales; Arecaceae.
CUCUGAAGCCCCUUCUGUUAAAGCUGGAUCCUCUUCCCGUAAGAGGACCAGGACUGUAUGGAAUAAUUUUGAUAGAGUUUUAGUUGAUAGAGUCUAUAAGAAAAAAUAAAAAAAUAUACCAAAUUAUAUAGUCGUGCCAGUUCUGGAGGAACUGGCCAUUUGAAGAGACUUUAAGAGUCUUAUAGGAUAAGUGAUUUUCGUUUUCAAAGCACCCUUAAUACACAAGGGGGUGCCCUUGUAGAAACUUUUACUUACAAUCAUG